Molecule: ribosomal RNA, 428 nt
Filed under: uncultured bacterium
Lineage: Bacteria
Description: bacterial SSU rRNA
Rfam family: Bacterial small subunit ribosomal RNA
Source: RNAcentral
UGGGGAAUCUUGGACAAUGGGGGCAACCCUGAUCCAGCGAUGCCGCGUGUGUGAAGAAGGCCUGCGGGUUGUAAAGCACUUUUAUUGGGGAAGAAGGGGUUCUGGCUAAUAUCUGGAAUCAUUGACGUAACCCAAGGAAUAAGCACCGGCUAACUCCGUGCCAGCAGCCGCGGUAAUACGGAGGGUGCGAGCGUUAAUCGGAAUUACUGGGCGUAAAGCGUGCGUAGGCGGAGCGUUAAGUCUGAUGUGAAAUCCCUGGGCUCAACCUGGGAACAGCAUUGGAUACUGGAGGUCUAGAGUGUGGCAGAGGGUAGUGGAAUUCCCGGUGUAGCGGUGAAAUGCGUAGAUAACGGGAGGAACACCAGUGGCGAAGGCGGCUGCCUGGGCCAACACUGACGCUAGUGCACAAAAACGUGGGGAGCAAACAG